This 479-nucleotide ribosomal RNA is filed under the name uncultured bacterium. Its description in RNAcentral is "partial 16S ribosomal RNA". It matches the Rfam family "Bacterial small subunit ribosomal RNA", at positions 28 to 507 of the family's 1533-position model. The record is from RNAcentral.
GACGAACGUUGGCGGCGCGCUUAACACAUGCAAGUCGAGCGAUGAAAUUUCGACAGAUCCCUUCGGGGUGAAGAUGAAAUGGAUUAGCGGCGGACGGGUGAGUAACACGUGAGUAACCUGCCUUUGACAUUGGGAUAGCCUCGGGAAACUGGGAUUAAUACCAAAUGACACUAACUGAUCACAUGAUCAAUUAGUCAAAGAAAUUCGGUCAAAGAUGGACUCGCGGCUGAUUAGCUAGUUGGUGAGGUAACGGCCCACCAAGGCGACGAUCAGUAGCCGGCCUGAGAGGGUGAUCGGCCACAUUGGAACUGAGACACGGUCCAAACUCCUACGGGAGGCAGCAGUGGGGAAUAUUGCACAAUGGGGGAAACCCUGAUGCAGCGACGCCGCGUGAGCGAAGAAGGCCUUCGGGUCGUAAAGCUCUUUUAUGAGGGAAGAUAAUGACGGUACCUCAAGAAAAAGCCCCGGCUAACUACGUG